CGGGGGGAGCAAGCGUUGUUCGGAUUUACUGGGCGUAAAGGGCGCGUAGGCGGCCACUGCAAGUCGGUUGUGAAAUCUCCGGGCUUAACCCGGAAAGGUCAACCGAUACUGCAGGGCUAGAGUGCAGAAGGGGCAACUGGAAUUCUCGGUGUAGCGGUGAAAUGCGUAGAUAUCGAGAGGAACACCUGCGGCGAAGGCGGGUUGCUGGGCUGACACUGACGCUGAUGCGCGAAAGCUAGGGGAGCGAACGGGAUUAGAUACCCCGGUAGUCCUAGCCUUAAACGAUGAAUGCUUGGUGUCUGGGGCUUUAUAGUCCCCGGGUGCCGUCGCUAACGCUUUAAGCAUUCCGCCUGGGGAGUACGGUCGCAAGACUG
Molecule: ribosomal RNA, 374 nt
Filed under: uncultured organism
Description: bacterial SSU rRNA
Rfam family: Bacterial small subunit ribosomal RNA
Source: RNAcentral